GAACUGCGAUAAGUAAUGUGAAUUGCAGAAUUCAGUGAAUCAUCGAGUCUUUGAACGCACAUUGCGCCCCCUGGCAUUCCGGGGGGCAUGCCUGUCCGAGCGUCAUUGCUGCCCUUCAAGCCCGGCUUGUGUGUUGGGACGUCGUCCCCUCCGGGGGACGGGCCCGAAAGGCAGCGGCGGCACCGCGUCCGGUCCUCGAGCGUAUGGGGCUUUGUCACCCGCUCGAUAAGGACCGGCCGGGCGCCAGCCGGCGUCUCCAACCUUUUUUUCUCAGGUUGACCUCGGAUCAGGUAGGGAUACCCGCUGAACUUAAGC
RNAcentral lists this unclassified non-coding RNA (315 nucleotides) under plant metagenome. RNAcentral's name for it is "partial contains 5.8S ribosomal RNA, internal transcribed spacer 2, and large subunit ribosomal RNA". The stretch from base 1 to 105 matches the Rfam family "5.8S ribosomal RNA", at positions 50 to 154 of the family's 154-position model. The record is from RNAcentral.